GUCUUUCUCUUCCCGUUAUUAUUUCUUCUUUGUUUCCUGACUUUUCGUUUUGGGAUCGAGAAGCCCGUGGAUACCACUACCGCUGUCGCUGCCGCUAGAGGCCGGCGCAUAGGCCGCUCCGGUCGCGUUAGGAGCGAGGAAGGCGAAGCAGGGAGGGGCGCGGCCAGGCUGCGCGCCGGUUGAGGUUCCCGAAAGUACGAAAAGAAGCCCAACGUAGAUCGUUCGAGUACGAAUGUGGUCCUGCUGAUACGUAACUCGCGGUUUCGACAGGCGCCUCUAGAUCAUGGACGAGACGAGAAAGUUCCGUCCUGAAGAGAGGACAAUGAGUUCUGUACCUUCCGAAGGAAGUGUCAUAACAAUUAUACCCUAAAAAACUGGCAAACUUUAACCGAACCUUCUAUUAGAAGGGUCGUGGUUGGUAUGUACUCUUGUGUUUACGUUCAUAACGUUUCGUCUCCGACUUCUACUAAGAUAAGAGGCUGUCCACGCUCCAGUCACUGCUUCGUUUCUUUUUCUAUCACCUUUUGCAACAACUCCGUGAUAGACUUAAACAGCUCUAACUUAGUGCACUAUUACAUGUUCACCUAUAGAGCUGACUACGACCGGAACCGUGUCACAUAAGACACUGACAAGGUCACGCGGCACACUUCGGACUCAUGGUCCUUAGACUUCUCGUCAUGUCUCCUUUUUAGCAACCACAACUGAAGUUCCUGUGACCUCUUAGCAGACCAUUACAACUACAAUGGAAACUAAAGAUACAAGGCUUACUCUUGGUGACUAAGGAACUGGAUCGCGAGAGACAACACAAGGAAAUAGCGGAGAACUCUGAGGAGUCCUCCACCGUCUGUACACCACGGUCUAAGAACUUUAGUAUAAAAGGUGAACACAACACAAUAAACCAAAUCAAUGUAACACGGUUACCAAAAGAAUCAAUAUAGGUCGACGGGGAAAGAUCACACGUUACAGAGAUCUCCCCAAAAGAGUGCCUCCC
Molecule: ribosomal RNA, 991 nt
Filed under: Triticum aestivum (bread wheat)
Lineage: Eukaryota; Viridiplantae; Streptophyta; Magnoliopsida; Poales; Poaceae
Description: partial small subunit ribosomal RNA
Source: RNAcentral